Molecule: long non-coding RNA, 282 nt
Filed under: Hordeum vulgare
Lineage: Eukaryota; Viridiplantae; Streptophyta; Magnoliopsida; Poales; Poaceae
Description: long non-coding RNA (HVUL_LNC008534)
Source: RNAcentral
AAAAAGCAUCGCCAGACGUUCCAUAGGAGAUGUUUUUCUUUCUGUCUGAAGUAGUGCUAUGAAACAAAGACAUGGACUACAUAUAUUUUACACAGGUCCCAGUUGCAGCAAGCAGAUGUACAAAUCUACACAGAAUCCGUGUUCACUAACGAGAGACAGCAGACCAACAUACACACUUUUUUCAGACAGCACACCAUCAUGGUCCACGAGGCCUUUCUCCCUGAUCUAAAAAAAGGCUCCGGACAUCUUAUUAUCAUCAUUACUCGUGUGACGCCACCGCGG